AUCCAGUGGCUGACGAGUCCCAAAUAGGACGAAAUGUGCUUUAUCCUGGAU
Trichobilharzia regenti is the source of this 51-nucleotide non-coding RNA. Lineage: Eukaryota; Metazoa; Platyhelminthes; Trematoda; Strigeidida; Schistosomatidae. The record is from Rfam.